RNAcentral lists this ribosomal RNA (445 nucleotides) under uncultured bacterium. Its description in RNAcentral is "partial 16S ribosomal RNA". It matches the Rfam family "Bacterial small subunit ribosomal RNA", at positions 354 to 796 of the family's 1533-position model. The record is from RNAcentral.
GUGAGGAAUAUUGGUCAAUGGACGGAAGUCUGAAUCAGCCAUGCCGCGUGCAGGAAUAAGGUCCUAUGGAUUGUAAACUGCUUUUAUUCGGGAAUAAACCUCUUUACGUGUAGGGAGCUGAAGGUACCGAAGGAAUAAGCACCGGCUAACUCCGUGCCAGCAGCCGCGGUAAUACGGAGGGUGCAAGCGUUAUCCGGAAUCAUUGGGUUUAAAGGGUCCGCAGGCGGGCUAUCAAGUCAGAGGUGAAAUCCCACAGCUUAACUGUGGAACUGCCUUUGAAACUGAUGGUCUUGAAUUAAGUGGGCGUUGGCGGAAUAUGACAUGUAGCGGUGAAAUGCAUAGAUAUGUCAUGGAACACCGAAAGCGAAGGCAGCUAACGAUACUUAUAUUGACGCUCAUGGACGAAAGCGUGGGUAGCGAACAGGAUUAGAAACCCGUGUAGUCC